AUUGUUGAGAUGACUGCUGCUGCUGCUGCUGUUGCUGCAAUUUCUGUAAUAAUUGGAAUUGUUGCUCUGGGAGGCCCUGCUGUGCCAGUUGUUGAAUUUGCGGCUGCUGUUGUGACCUCUGGGACAGAUUUUGCUGCAACUGUGUCUGUUGCUGUUGGCUCUGUACGAGGUUAGGUUGCUGUUCCACCUGUUGUUGAAUCUGUGUAUCUUGAGCUAACGACGUCAAAGGAUAUGAAGCUUUAUUAGCAGGAAGGGUGGUUUGAGUUGACUGGCCAUUGCUUGUCAAUAUUUGUUGUUGUUGCUGCUGUUGCUGAACCUG
RNAcentral lists this long non-coding RNA (319 nucleotides) under Gossypium raimondii (Peruvian cotton). RNAcentral describes it as "long non-coding RNA (GRAI_LNC000016)". Lineage: Eukaryota; Viridiplantae; Streptophyta; Magnoliopsida; Malvales; Malvaceae. The record is from RNAcentral.